Molecule: long non-coding RNA, 561 nt
Filed under: Nicotiana tabacum (common tobacco)
Lineage: Eukaryota; Viridiplantae; Streptophyta; Magnoliopsida; Solanales; Solanaceae
Description: long non-coding RNA (NTAB_LNC007692)
Source: RNAcentral
UUGAAAGUAUUCCCUGCUUUCCAGGCGGGCUCCUGACUGCUAAUUUGAAAGUACUCCCUGCUCUCCAGGCAGGCUCCUGACUUCAACAAAGAAUUCGACAACUAAAAUUUAAAUUGUACUCCCUUGUUCUCCAGGCGGGCUCCUGAUUACUACGCUUGAAAGCAUUCCCUGCUCUCCAGGCGGGCUCCUGACUUCAACUUGAAAUGUAUUCCCUGCUCUCCAGGGGGCUCCUAACUUCAAAAUAAACAAAACAAAGAAUUUGAAAGCUAAAAUGUAAAUGAUACUCCGUUGUUCUCCAGGCGGGCUCCUGACUUCGACUUGAAAGUACUCCCUGCUCUCCAGGCGGGUUCCUGACCUCAAAAAUAGACAAAACAAAGAGUUUGAAUGCUAAACUUAAAUUGUACUCCCUUGUUCUCCAGGCGGGCUCCUGACUGCUACGUUUGAAAGUAUUCCCUGCUCUCCAGGCGGGCUCCUGACUUCAACUUGAAAGUACUCCCUUCUCUCUAGGCGGGUUCCUGACUUCAAAAAUAGACAAAACAGAGAGUUUGAAGGCUAAAGCUU